UACGGAGGGUGCAAGCGUUAAUCGGAAUUACUGGGCGUAAAGCGUGCGCAGGCGGUUUGUUAAGUCCGUUGUGAAAGCCCCGAGCUCAACUUGGGAAUUGCAGUGGAUACUGGCAGGCUGGAGUACGGUAGAGGAAGGUGGAAUUCCCGGUGUAGCAGUGAAAUGCGUAGAUAUCGGGAGGAACACCAGUGGCGAAGGCGGCUCACUGGCCCGGUACUGACGCUGAGAUACGAAAGCGUGGGGAGCAAACAGG
RNAcentral lists this ribosomal RNA (253 nucleotides) under uncultured bacterium. RNAcentral describes it as "partial 16S ribosomal RNA". It matches the Rfam family "Bacterial small subunit ribosomal RNA", at positions 524 to 776 of the family's 1533-position model. The record is from RNAcentral.